RNAcentral lists this non-coding RNA (196 nucleotides) under Bacillus sp. es.036. The record is from RNAcentral. Lineage: Bacteria; Bacillati; Bacillota; Bacilli; Caryophanales; Bacillaceae.
CUGAAGGAUUAUAUCGAAGAGUCAAAUGAUAGCGUAACGUCUUGAAGGGCUCUCUCUUAGUCGAAUAGCACUUGAAUUAGCAAGGAUAAGAGUGUUAUAAGCUCGAUGAAAAGGCGUGAGAAUUCACCGUAACAGGAUCGGCUGACGAAAACCUACCUGCGGGGGUGGUGUGAAUCAUAAUGCUUGGGUUGAAAGA